This 6041-nucleotide long non-coding RNA is filed under the name Podarcis lilfordi (Lilford's wall lizard). The record is from RNAcentral. Lineage: Eukaryota; Metazoa; Chordata; Lepidosauria; Squamata; Lacertidae.
GUAUGACAAUUAUUUCCAGGACAACAGUAAAAAAAAAAAAAAGGAGAAGGUAAAGAAGAACUGCUACAGACACAGCUUCCAGAACAGAUUGGAGGAGGUGCUAUUCCUAUUUUAACAGUGCCCAAAUCUGCUUGAGGCAGGCUGCUUUAUUCUGCCUAGUGGUAGGGUAGAGCUCAGCCACUUGGCUACAUUUGGGCAGCCUGCCUGAGGCAGCAUACUUUGGACAUAAUUAAGAAGCAACACGCUAUCAGUUAUUUCAUUUAAAUAACAACAACAAUCAUAAUAUUUUACUGUGGUAGGGUGUCAUUUCAAUGGUCUUAGCCAAGGCACCAAAAUGUCAGGCCAGUGAGAUCAGAUGCCUGCUCAUUGCUUACAUUUUUUUAGUUAUGUGAAGAAUUGAUUCUAGGAUAGUAUAUCUGAAAUGACUGUCCAGCUACAUUUGAGCGAGUUCUGCGCACUGUCUCACUAGAGUGGUACAUGCCCUGCUUAUCCCCCACUUGGAUUACUGCCAUUCUCGGUAGUAGAACUCAUCCUGUGGAACACCCUCCCAUCGGAUGUCAAGGAGAUGAGUAACUAUAUAAACUUUAGAAGACAUCUGAAGGCAGCCCUAUAUAGGGAAGCUUUUUAAUGUAUAAUGUUUUUAUACAUGUUGGAAGCCACCCAGAGUGGCUGGAGCUACCCAGUCAGAUGGGCAGGGUACAAGUAAUAAUGACAACAUUAUUAUUAUUAUUACUAUUUAAUUUAUUAUAAAUAUUUACAUUUUGCUAGUUAUAGCUGAAAGUGCCUGGUGUUGCUGACAAAUUCUAAGAAACAAAAACAUACUGAGAUUUUAAAAUGGAAAUGUAAUUUGCUAGUUUCAGGGCUGUGUACAGCACCACACAUCUACAUUCCAGGAUCUUGACCUGGGGAAAACCUGACCUGCAUCCAGCCUUGAAUCAAUGUUUAAUUAAGGUUUUUAAAGCCCUAUAAGCUCAGGAGAGGGGAAGCAGGGGAAAGACACUGAUUCUCCUUUUCCUCUCUUCCCAACUGAAUCGCAGGGAGCAGAAGGGUUGGAUCCUACUGGGUGCUGUUUCACCCAUGCAUUCCCUGUAGGAAACAUGCUGGCAAACCAGCAGACCCCUUCAGCCAGUAGGGCUGCACCCGUGGCACACAGUUCCUGCAGUGCUGCUGCAUGGGCUCGACAGGCUUCCUUGGCCUCCACAAUCUGCUGCCCUGCUCCUGCAUAGUUUCCUCCAGUGUGUCCCAUCAUGGUGUGGUUCAGCCCUAGCUGUCCCUGCCACCAACACCUGCAACUCUGUGGCUGCCAUUUAGCAGACUCACCUUUCUGACCAUCCCUCAACUUGCUCCUUCAUCAGCAGUCAUCAUCAAUGGUGGGGUGGGAUGGGGGAAGCACAUAACUGACAGUGAGAGACCAACUGUCUUCUGGCACUGGCUCAGCACAGGAACAGGAGACAGGUCUUCUCUAUUCCUCUCCCCCACCCCAAUCUCCUCUUCCCACCUUGGGACCUCUGCAGCUUCAGCCAUUUCCUUUGGAAUCCUGCUAUGGUCUACUUUCCAAGCACAUUACCUGUGGGUAACAUGCUGGUAAAGCAAACCCCUGCAGCUAGCAGGUGAAGGGUUCAGUUGCACUUAUGGACUGCAUACAUGUGUUCCCCUGCUGGGAACAUGCAUACAAAGUCAAAAUGCAGCACAGGGCUGUUUGAAAGCCCUCUUACAACAGCCAUGGGUUGCCCUUGGUAGAGGCUGCCUGACUCGCCUCCCAGCAACCCACACAUUAACAAACCCAGAUUCCUCCAGGCAGCCCAACCCAAGGUGAUCAGGGGUUGUCUUGAUGUGAUUCAGUCAAAGUCCAGAUCAGAGCAAAUUGGCCUGGCUUUGUUUGGGCUUUGGCAGAAACUGGUGUGCAGCCCUUUUCAUUUCUUGCCAAAUUUGGUUAACAUCAUUUCAGUUUUGACAGGUUCAGCCCACCAUUUUGAUUCAAACUGGAGUCCAAUGGUAUCCAAAUAUAGACCAAAGCCCACUCCUCCAUUUCAGGAACCACUGUCAAAUUGGGCGACAUUAUUUGCAGUGCGGUCCAAAUCAGUGCAGUUUUGAAUAGUUCGGUCUGCUUCAAAAUGACAGCCAACAGUAUCCAAAUAUAAACCAAAAGUCCAUUGCUCCAUCUCAGGAACUGUCAUGCAAACUGAUUUCAUGUCAAAUUUGGUUUAAAAUCUUUUCACUUAGGAAUGGCUUUGCUCACCAUCUUGCUUCAAAAUGGCCUCCAACCAUUUAUAAACAUAGACAAAAACCUGUUCCUCACACUUGGGAACAGUCAUGCCAGGUUGGAAUGAUAAUAUCUCCAGACACAUCCAAAUUGGUGCAGCUAGUGUUAGGCCCACAGAAGAAGGUUUUAAGCUGCUGCUUCACAAUGAGGUAAAACCUCCCAACAUGCUGAAAAUUGGGGUAUAAGUUUAAAUAAAAUAAAAUCAUGAUGUGUAACCAUUGAUUGCUUUAUCCAGCAUGAGUUUAUCUAAACCCCCUUUAAGGUCAUCUAAAUUGGCAGCUGUCAUUGCAUGUUGUGGCAGCAAAUUCCAUGAGAUGACUAUGUGCUGUGUGAAGAAUGCUUCCUUUCGACUGUCUUGAAUUGAGAUAUUUGCUCAUCCUAGUCCCACAACAGAUGAAUGGCAAUACCACCACUUCUUGUGUUCCUCAACAAGUUCUUGUUGAGAACUAUCCAUUUAGUCCUACUCUCUUUUCCCAGUUCCCAGGUUCCAGUAUAUAAGAGGAUCCAUAACUGCUAAGUUUUACUCAAGGGCCUUUGGCAAAGGAUUUUAUCAGAAACAUAUUGGAAGUCCAAAUAUACAGCAUCUACCACAUCACCCCCAGUCACCUGGAAUAUGCUUUUCAAACUGUUGAGUUCCAUACAAUGAGUAGCAUACUAUUGCUCUUACCUGUGAUCAUGUCCAAAGUACUUGCAACUCCAUUGCCUCCUUCUCUCUAAAAAGAAGAGCCUGAAACUUGGACUUUUAUCAGCAACGUCCACCAGUCCAGGAGUCUCUGCAGAUUUAUUAUCUGUUCUAUUUAUUACAUUUAUAUAGCACCUCUAUAUUCCAAGGAGCUCAAGGUGGUGUACAUGGUCAAAAUAAUGACUGCUUGUGUUAGCUGGCAACUUUGCUACAAAUGCCUAUCUAUAGUUCCUGGAGGGCCUCACCAGCGGUCUGGGGCCAGAAGAGACUGCCAGACACCAACAAAGGGACUUACACAGAGCCGAACAACUUGCAUCUCACCAAGAUGAACUUGCAUCUCACCACCAGAUAUGAAUGGUGGCCCAUGAAGGGCUUGAGGAACAAUGCUUUUUUUCCCAGGCCAACGCAUGCAUCAGAAACAGAAGAUUAGAUCAGGACUCUGGUAGGCUGCCACACAUGGCUAUCAGAUUGAGUUUGGCUUGGUGGAGCAGAAAGUGUGCAGGCCCGGGUUAUGGCAGGCUCCCAAAUUACACUUAUCGCUCCUCGCCAAUUGUUAUUCUUGCCCACCCCUAAAGCUCGCAUCCUGCUGCUGGAAAUUUGUUUGGAUGCAGGAGAUGCUGCGGCAGCAUCAAGGGCAUUGCAAGGAACAAUUCUGGGAGUCGAAUGCCCCUCCCUGCCAAACCGAAAAAUGCACCCACAUCCCGGUGCAGCUGGAAAAAUGGAGGGGGCCUGUCUUCCAUCCUCUCAUGGUAUCAGACUGUGCUAGUUACCAGAUGAGAAACUGGCAUCUUCCAUGAGAUUCAGAUAGCCCACCACUUUGUUCCUGGGGAUUGAAGGCUCCUGGUGUUAAUUAGCUCCUGUAAUAUGAUGGAUGACAGCAGGAAAGCCAGAAGUGACACAGGCAAAUUGCAUUCCAGAAUGAGCCUUCCCUCCUCAUCAAGGGCACUGGAAAGGGAUCUGGAGAAAGACAGGAGCUGAGCUGCAACACCACCACCUGGACACAGUGUAUAUAAAUACAAUGAGGCUGUGGGAAUCGGGAACAAGGAAGUCCACCCUCAAUGCUAACAAGAGAAAACAAAGAACAUUUGACCUGCCACAGGGGAGCAACACACACAGGUUUCUUGGGCUGAUCCCUGUUGCCAUGAAUAAAUUGAAUCCUUGAGAAAAGGAUAAGAUUGCCCUGCCCUGAUUUGGUGGUCGAGCCCCUGCUGCCCAUGGGAAGCAAAGGAAGACACAACUAGACACAACAACAUACUAAGGAGGAGAAGGCGGCAGCUCAAAUCAAGGUCAUAAGGGGAUGCAGCCCUAUCUCCUGGGUGAGAAGCAUCCUUUUCUCUCCAAGACGGAGGCCAAAGGAGAAGAGAUGAAAACUGGGGCAAGGAGGCAGUUGGGUGGGAAAGAGGAAACCAGCCAUGUAUCUCCCAUGAUGAAGUUAGGGAUGGGAGAUGAGACAGGCGAGGGAAACUGGAAGGGAUGGCCUGGGUACUGCAGCACCAGACCACAGAGGUAUAAAAUAUUAAUAUAAAGUUAAAAUUUGGGGGGUAUAUCCCUAGUGUAUGAACAUCCAUGCAUCACCUUAGUUCAUUGUACCAACUGCCAGUGCAUAGUCAUCCCAUUCUCCUGCAGUCUUCUCUCUCUCCAAGCACACAUUGUCCUAGGACCAGCUCAUCCACUAGACAAACACAGUAUUGGCACUGCAUGCAAGCCCUGCAAGGGGAACUGUAGACACCGACUAUGUUCUGCAAUUAACUGUCCCAGAAAAAGGAUGCUUCCAGAAGACCUAUUUAUUGAGUAUUCAUCCAGAUUUGCUUGAGGGGAGACUAGAUGAUGUUGCAUCAAAGAAGGUGUUCUCUCGCACUUCCCUGUGCAUUUCCUGUCACUUUCCUUAUUGCAAAAACACUGAUCUUGGAGAAGCAGGUCUGUUGCACAAGACCUCCCAAAACACAAUAAUGGUGAGACCUGAAUUUUCUGGUAUGUGACUGAAUCCCACCUGAAAGCAGUGUAGUUUGGAAACACCCAAAGGUAGAGCAGCAAGAUGAAGAGAUUAGGGCAGAGGGGACAGAAAUCUACAGUGGGGAUUGCAAAGAGACAGGAAUCAAGACCAAGAGAAGAAGAUGCAUCUAACCUGAUUUAUGGAUCCUAAUAAUGUCUAAGACCAACUCCAUUCUCCACUUACAAAAUAACAAUUACAGAGUUCUGUUUAUCCACCCUAAACUCGCUGUAUUAAAAUGCAAUCUUCACAAAUUCAGAGUAAUCACCUGGUACAGCUCUGUUGGAACUAUUACUUUAAACAGGGAGUUGCACAUCUGAAUAUUCCCCCAUUUAAACAACAACCCUGCAUAUAGAAAAUCAGCUCAGUGGCAGAUGACAGGCCAGGAUGGUUCUCUCCAAUAUGCUUGUUUUCUUUAAAUGGCAACAUUUAACUAUGCAAUCCCCUGUUCACAGUCUAAAGUGGAGAGUCCCAGCAAGACUGUAUUAUGUGAUUACUCUGAACACGGAAAUCAGCUCUCAGGACUCAGCCAGUCCACAGAAAUUGUGUUGUGGUUGAUUUUCAAAAUGCAAGUGAUUUUUAAAAUGGAAAGUGGAAUAAGGGGCACUUUGAACUUGGAACCAGGGGGAGGAAAAAGGAGCCACUGAAAAGGAGUGCUCACUUGUCUCCCAAACACAUUCAGUACACUGACAACACUCCUUCCAGAUCAAGGCUUAGUUGCAAAAGCCUUUUGCACGUCAAACUUAUUGCAUGUCAAUAACUAUAUUGUUAUUGCCGAGACCUUAGCAUGAACAAUCUUUGAGUUACUUUUUAUAAGUCCCUCAACCUUCUGAAUCAGGGAUGAUCAGAGAGGUAAUUCCAGUAACUUCUUUUUGCUGGUUAAAAAUGACUAAGCACAUAAAGGUGCCUUGAGUAAGCAUAUGGGUUUGAAUUGUUCUUUUUAAUGGAAAAAGAGCUAACUCACCCUAAGACAGUUUUUGACCUUGGCUGUUUGGGGUUGUUGCUUUCUACGCCCUAAUACAGCAUCUCCUGCAUCUGCCAACUUCCAAACUUCCACCUAAAGUGCAGUAGACUAUGCAAAGCUGCUUGCCAGGAGGACAGGGAUG